CUUUUAGGGUUUCUUAUCCUAUUGAGCUCGAGGAUCUUUAAAGGUCAACAUCUAAUUGAUUUUAAAUUAGAGGUUUAGGUCAAUGCAAUUGCAAGAUGGUGGUUUGUGGGCCAAGAAAGGGUAAUAAAAUCUCCACAUUAUGUUGAUUAGGGUUUUGUCCUUAAGAUUUUUUAUGAAAAUAUGCAAUGCAAGAAGAAAAAGUAUCCAAACAUGUUAAGUAACUUUUAAGAUUUAAUUGGUUUAUUUAUAUUAGUCAAGUGUUAUGUGGUGUCUUUGUAUUCUUUUUAUAUUAUGUUAUCUUUAAGCAAGAAGG
RNAcentral lists this long non-coding RNA (313 nucleotides) under Elaeis guineensis (African oil palm). RNAcentral's name for it is "long non-coding RNA (EGUI_LNC082549)". Lineage: Eukaryota; Viridiplantae; Streptophyta; Magnoliopsida; Arecales; Arecaceae. The record is from RNAcentral.